Molecule: ribosomal RNA, 514 nt
Filed under: uncultured Glomus
Lineage: Eukaryota; Fungi; Glomeromycota; Glomeromycetes; Glomerales; Glomeraceae
Description: SSU rRNA
Rfam family: Eukaryotic small subunit ribosomal RNA
Source: RNAcentral
UGGUGCCAGCAGCCGCGGUAAUUCCAGCUCCAAUAGCGUAUAUUAAAGUUGUUGCAGUUAAAAAGCUCGUAGUCGAAUUUCGGGAUCAAAUUGUCGGUCGUGCCUCGGUACGUACUGGUAUUAUUGGUUCCUCCCUUCUGACGAACCACGAUGUCAUUAAUUUGGUGUCAUGGGAAAUCAGGACUGUUACUUUGAAAAAAUUAGAGUGUUUAAAGCAGGCUCGCGCUUGAAUACAUUAGCAUGGAAUAAUGAAAUAGGACGUUUGAUUCUAUUUUGUUGGUUUCUAGGAUCGACGUAAUGAUUAAUAGGGAUAGUUGGGGGCAUUAGUAUUCAAUUGUCAGAGGUGAAAUUCUUGGAUUUAUUGAAGACUAACUACUGCGAAAGCAUUUGCCAAGGAUGUUUUCAUUAAUCAAGAACGAAAGUUAGGGGAUCGAAGACGAUCAGAUACCGUCGUAGUCUUAACCAUAAACUAUGCCGACUAGGGAUCGGAUGAUGUUAAUUUUUUAAUGACUCA